AUCACUUCCCGGCCUUUUGUUAAGAUCAAGGGUAGAUACCUAUUCUUAUCAGUUUAACAAUCCAAUAUGUCCUCUAUCCGAGGACAACAUAUUAAUUGGAUUUUUGGAGCAGGGAGGUGGAAUAAGAGCUUGCUUUGUCCACAUCCCAUGUUGACCUGGUAUCGCAGUACUUCCAGAAUGGCAGACCCCCU
Pteronotus mesoamericanus is the source of this 191-nucleotide small nuclear RNA. RefSeq annotates it as U2 spliceosomal RNA. The record is from RefSeq and is a predicted model, not a curated record. The transcript has a single exon. Lineage: Eukaryota; Metazoa; Chordata; Mammalia; Chiroptera; Mormoopidae.